This 253-nucleotide ribosomal RNA is filed under the name uncultured prokaryote. RNAcentral's name for it is "partial 16S ribosomal RNA". It matches the Rfam family "Bacterial small subunit ribosomal RNA", at positions 524 to 776 of the family's 1533-position model. The record is from RNAcentral.
UACGUAGGGUGCGAGCGUUAAUCGGAAUUACUGGGCGUAAAGCGUGCGCAGGCGGUUCGUUGUGUCUGAUGUGAAAGCCCCGGGCUUAACCUGGGAACGGCAUUGGAAACUGGCGAGCUUGAGUGUGGCAGAGGGGGGUGGAAUUCCGCGUGUAGCAGUGAAAUGCGUAGAGAUGCGGAGGAACACCUGAGGCGAAGGCGGGCUACUGGGCCGAUACUGACGCUGAUGUGCGAAAGCCAGGGGAGCGAACGGG